UACAGAGGUCUCAAGCGUUGUUCGGAUUCAUUGGGCGUAAAGGGCGCGUAGGCUGCGGGGUAAGUCGGGUGUGAAAUCUCAGAGCUCAACUCUGAAACUGCACUCGAUACUGCUUUGCUUGAGGACUGGAGAGGAGAUUGGAAUUCACGGUGUAGCAGUGAGAUGCGUAGAUAUCGUGAGGAAGACCAGUGGCGAAGGCGGAUCUCUGGACAGUUCCUGACGCUGAGGCGCGAAGGCCAGGGGAGCAAACGGG
Molecule: ribosomal RNA, 253 nt
Filed under: uncultured bacterium
Lineage: Bacteria
Description: partial 16S ribosomal RNA
Rfam family: Bacterial small subunit ribosomal RNA
Source: RNAcentral